Molecule: long non-coding RNA, 2914 nt
Filed under: Amborella trichopoda
Lineage: Eukaryota; Viridiplantae; Streptophyta; Magnoliopsida; Amborellales; Amborellaceae
Description: long non-coding RNA (ATRI_LNC002919)
Source: RNAcentral
UCUGGUAGAGAUUCACUAGAAAUCUCUAGAAUUCCUUUUGUUGGGAUCCAUCCUCUUACUUCUGGAAGUUCUAGACUCGAGACUUACCCCUCCUUCCGUUUGGCUGAGGCAGAGGAAUCCUUUUUUCUCCUUCAAGUGUCCUGGUCUAUGGCAUCUCCUCCCUCCCCUAGUUUCUUCACCCCGAUGGCUGACUCCCCCUCGCACCAGCCUGAUCCCACAACCUAGAUAGAGGUGACCAAAAAACGCCACCAACCCCAGCGGCGCCACUAGGGGGUGGACCUCGGUUAGCUCAAGCUCGAGGGCCGAGCCGCUUUGCAGGUCAACUGCCUCCUGCCAACAAUCGAAUUCUUCGGGAGACUCGAGCCUAACAACAACAUUGAACCUGUACACAACCUUUCUGGCCACGUCACCCGGUCUAAGUUUCAAUCUACUGUUAGCACUUGCAAAUCCACAGGUGAAGUACCAGUCAGAUCAAUCGACAACAUGGCACCUGUCCCGGCCGACCCUUAGGUCUUGCCAAGUGGCAUCGUACCCUCCUGACGUGCCAAGGAAAUCUGGGUGGAUGACGCUCCCCCUCUGCAUGCUUGGCCGCCUCACCUACCCUCAAUUGCAAGCUUCUCUGGCCACACCUCCUCUCCAUUGACUGCUUUGUCCUCGGCUCGGGCCAAAGACCUGAUCUCCCUCUUGCUCAAUGCCUCUGGGCUCUGCGGGCCAGGAACCGGCCCAUAUCCCUAUUACCCCUACUGUGGCACGCUCCUUAGCACCGACCCUUUCAUCCCCCAACACUGUGACAUUUGUCCCCCCUUCCUCAGUGACCUCGGGAGAGACCAAUUUCCUGCCCAUCUCACUGCCUCCCCCAAAUCACUUAUCCGCCUCCUCUCCUAGCGCCCCUUGAGAUCCUCACUUCAUCAUCUCCCCCUCCGCCCGCUACUCCUCUCUCCUUGUCUCCCCCUUCUGCUCUACCCCCCCCUUGUGCAACCCCCCUUGCUCUCCACCCCGUUUUUCUCUAUUUCUCCACCUCUCUCCUCUCCUCCAUCUCUCCUNNNNNNNNNNNNNNNNNNNNNNNNNNNNNNNNNNNNNNNNNNNNNUAUUUCUCCACCUCUCUCCUCUCCUCCAUCUCUCCUCGUUUGACGAGGCUCCCCUCUCUUCCCCCCCCCUUUUUCCACCAUCCUUGCCCUGUUGUGCUGUCGUCUACUCUGUUGCCGCUUAUCCUGCUGUCAUCCGCCACCUCACCCACCAACUGCACCUCUCUCACAUCCUUGGAAGCUGCUCAGCCUCCCAUCCAUCUUCUCCCUCCAGUCUCAUCUCCGCCUUGCAAUCCUCUACCAAUCCACUCGGAGGUAACCCCAGACUCGCCUGAGACAGGCCCUAUUUCUAUCACUUCUAUUUUUGGCCUUUCUGCUCCGCACAUCCCACCGGUGUUUCGAUAACCAGAGGCUUUUGCGACACCCUUGUCUGACCCUAACCCCCCGUUGGAGUGGCCAUCAUUCUCAGUAGGUAUCUUGGUGGUGGAAUCAGAUGACCCUACCCCUCCUGACCUAGAGAUUCUGGCCUCCCUAUUGGCCCCUUACCCCCCUUACACCCCGAACCUUAUCCUUAUUUGCCAAAUCAGGACUGUCUGUACUUCCAUCUUUCAACCACCCUCGGUUGGCCCUUCGGCUCCUCUUUUGGCCCCAACCUUAUGGACCUCGGUACCAACCUACUCUUACUGCCCCCCCCUUCCCCCCCGUCACCUUAUUUUCCACCACCCUACUCUCUCCUGUCUAACCAAUACCUCUUGCUCUCCUUGCCGCAGGUUGACCUCCAUCCUCCCUUGUCCAUCUCAGUGCCAACCCCUCCAACCCUUUUGAUGAGCCCCCUGCUUUUCCUUUCGUACCUACUGGUUCAGGCCUCUCUCACCCUUCUUUGGGAAUCUCAUCCCAAUCCCCUCUAUCGGCUUUCUUGAUGGACUCUGCUUUUGUGGACGACAUUGACCACGGACAGGCUGACUUCAAGGAAUUGCUUAGAGUCAUGGGCUUCCCACUAUGACGACCCAGAAGGCCCGCUCCAUCGUUUCUUCAAGGCAGAUGCUCAAAGCAUGCUUAAGGUGAGAAUUAAAGGACAAAGGGAGGUUCUCAACCUCUAUUCUAGGAUAAACUAUGACAAACAAUCUUCCUUGAGGCAGCCCAUUGCGCUUAUAGCCCAGCCUAGCACUUUAGACUCUCUCCCUAGAAGGUCCCCCAGGUUGGCACCUUCACACAACCCCCUCAUGUCCUCAUGAAGAUUCUAUCAUGGAAUGUAAGGGGAUUGGGACAAGAUCUCAGACGUAAAGCAGCACGUGACCUAUGCGCCAAGCACAACCUACCAUCCUGGCCCUCACUGAGACAAAACAACCCGACGCUUCCCUCCAACUUAUUCACCAGGUCUGGGGAUGCAGGCCGAGGCAAGGGGUCUCCCUGCCUGCAGUAGGGGCUAUUUGUGUCAUCUGGAAUUGCGCCCAACACUCUCUUGUCUUCUCCUUCUUAGGGGACUUCUCUGUAACUAUUCUCCUGUCCAGGAUCUCGGACGGGUAUCUUUGGAAGUUUACGACCAUUUAUGGCCUCGACUCAGUGGCUCAACAUUUCUUGCUUUGAGAUGAACUUGAUCAAGUGGCCACCCUCCCUCACCCCUCCUGGUGCCUAGGGGGGGGUUUCAAUAUAAUGAGAUGGUCUUUUGAAAGAAAUUCUAACUGCAACAUCUCGCAAGGGAUGUUGGAUUUCUCGGAUUUUAUAUCCCGCAUUGAGCUUCAGGAUGUCCCUCUUCUGGGAAAUAUUUUUACUUGUUCGGAUCAUGCUUCUAAUCCUACCCUUACUAAACUCGAUAGGUUUGUCUUGUCUUUGAGUUGGGAUGACGAUUUCCUUGGUUCCCACGCCUUCUUUCGACCAUUGCCUCAUUC